This 4680-nucleotide long non-coding RNA is filed under the name Homo sapiens (human). RNAcentral's name for it is "HSALNT0362731". Lineage: Eukaryota; Metazoa; Chordata; Mammalia; Primates; Hominidae. The record is from RNAcentral.
GAGGCAGAGUCUCACUCUGUCCAUUGCCCAGGCUGUAGAGCAAUGGCGUGAUCUCAGCUCACUGCAACCUCUGCCUCCCGGGUUCAAGCAAUUCUCCUGCCUCAGCCUCCCGAGUAGCUAGAACACAGGUGCCCGCCACCACAUCCGGCUAAUUUUUUGUAUUUUUAGUAGAGGUGGGGUUUCAUCAUGUUGGCCAGGCUGGUCUGGAACUCCUGACCUCAGGUGAUCCACCUGCCUUGGCCUCCCAAAGUGCUGGGAUUACAGGCGUGAGCCACUGCGCCUGGCUGCUCUGCUUUUUACCCAUAGCUCUGGCUCUAAUAUAUGACACUGCCCCUCCCUGAAUUAGAAUGGAGGCUACAGGGGGAUGCUGGUCUGUUAGUUGACUGAUGCAUCUUCAGCACUUAAGACAGUGUCUGGCACAGAGUAGGAACAGAAUAUGGUCCUGUAACAAAUACUGAAGGUUGUGCUCUGUGCACCUGGGAUAGAGCAGGAGCAAGACACAUCAUUCCUGCCCUCACAGGGUUAUGGUCUCCUAGGUGACAAGGUAGUGCACACUUCCAUAGGUCUUACUCUGGGACAAGUACUGUGCCAAAUGCUUCCUCCCAGCCGCCUGAUGAGGUAGCUACUGUUAGUUAUCAAGUCUGAUUUACAGGUGAGGCAAAGAAAGGAUAAGUAAUUGACCCAAGGUCACACCUAGCAGGUGGUGAAGCUGAGCCAUGGGUCUUGGCUUCAAGAAUCUGUGCUCUUACCCACCAUACCUGCUGCUGCCGGAUUCAAACCCGAAUUGCAUUAAGGAAUCAUCAUAACCUGUUUGAUUGAAGCUAUAAGGGAACUUUGAGCAUGGUGAAUGGGGCGCUCUAUGGAAAAGGGGUUCUGGGAAGCCUCUGUGGAAGGGAGGUUUUGUUAAGUGAACUCCCCUGGUAAACGGAGUGAUUGGCCCCCAAUUAGCUUGCUGUUCGGAUUAACUGUAAUACAUCACACUUUCGAAAGUGAAGAUAUGCCUAUUUUUUCCCCUCUAGGUCUAUAAAGUAGAUUUUUGCCAUUAGUAAAAUUUAAAGUGAUUGGGGGCUAUGGUUACUGAGAAUUCAAGAGGUAGAUUGACGAAAUAAUAUUUGAAUGCAAUUUUAUUUUUUGAAAAAUGUUUUCGAGAUGUCCUGUUUUUAGCCAGGAAGCAAACUCCAGGAAAACUCUCUUUUCCAUUAAAGUGUGGAUGGUGUACUGUAAACAAAGACUAGCUCUCUUGAGCUGCCACGUUUCUAUAACUUAUAGAAACAGAAGCUGUUUUUUUUUUCUAAAGAUCCAAACUCAUGUUGCCACACAAACAACAAAAUAAACCAGUGUGUUCCAAAAACAAGCAUUUGCUCUACCCACACGCACAGUUGGAAAGAUGCAGGUUUGAUUGAAGAAGUCGGAAGCCAGUGAGGUAAUGGCAGAUUCUUUUAGGGGCUCCUGUUAAUUUUAGUAAGCUUGGAAGAAGCUUCUAGGUUGUUUAGUGUUUCUAUUAGAACCAUCACCUCAACGAAUUUGUUAUUGUAGAGAUUGAUUAGGGGAUCUGCUUCCUUUGAGCAGCCAGGAUCCCCCAGCUCCAGCUUCUAGCCUGCUUUUCUUCCUCAUCUCUACUCUUUCAGAAUAAUGCAUGGCUUUCAAGUCCUGUGUGAUAGGUGGCUUCUUAGCGGGCCUCUGAAGGGGCUGAGAUUUGUUCCUGGGGCUGAGACUUUGUUCCUUUGAGGGUGCAGAGGCUGCUACCUGCUCAGGCUGCCCCCAAAUUGCUCUUGUGUGCAGUGUGCUGCUUGGGGACCAGUCCUGGCUCUGCCACCAUGGCGGACACUACUGGCUUCCUCUUAAUCUCAAUCUCUUCUUCUCCUUUCUUUCUUUUUUUUGGAGACGGAGUUUUGCUCUUGUUGCCCAGGCUGGAGUGCAAUGGCGCUAUCAAUCGUUCAAGCGAUUCUUCUGCCUCAGCCUCCCAAGUAGCUGGGAUUACAGGCAUGUACCACCACACCUGGCUAAUUUUGUAUUUUUAGUAGAGACAGGAUUUCACUAUGUUGGCCAGUCUGAUCUCGAACUCCUGACCUCAGGUGAUCCGCCUACCUCGGCCUCCCAAAAUGCUGGGAUUACAGGCAUGAGCCACUGUGCCUGGCCCUCUUCUCCUUUCUAACACAAGCCUGCUUCUCAGUUUCACGCACACAUAGGAGUGGCCACCUGACCCUGUGUUGGCAAAUGAUUGCAGGCUGUUGUCACCGGUGGGGCUCCUGGAAAAGCCCUCUAUGGGGGAUUGACUCUGGCAUGACUGGGGUGUGGAUGCUGUGCUCAGAGGUGCUGCAGUAAUGGUUCUGCUGCUGCUGAUAGUAACACAGGCAGUGCUGUGUCAUGCACAGUAAUCCUGUAAGGGAGAUACUAUCAUGAUCUCUGUUCGGUGGAUGAGGAAACAGUCUGAGGAAAGGCACCUGACCUGUUCAGGCCACACACUAAGUACAGAGCUGGGAUCCUGGCACCAGCAUUUGCUCUCACCACCUCUCUGUUAUGUACCUCUCACACAGAUUGGUCCAACAAGUGCAGUUCUUCUAGUCUCCUAUCUAGAUAAGCAGGAUAUUAGAAGGAAUAGGAGAGGCCUGCAAAAAGCUAUGAUAGGGUGGAAAUAGGAUAGGAGAAACUGAAAAAAGGGGAGGCGUGCGCUCCAACACCUCCAUAGCCCUUGGGGACGGGCUUAGUUUCUAAUGAGAAUACAGAAGGCCCAUGUCUCAAUAGGCCCCGAAAAAUAUUAAUCCAGCCCAAUAUGAACAGUCUGCUAAUUAUAUGACUGGGCCUGCUUAGGAGAUCAGGGCAAUAUUACAUUCAGAGUACUCAGUUUAGGAAGAUGACACAGUGUAAUACAUACAGAUUUCCAUCAUUUCUUUUAUUCCUCAUUUGGAGAGGCAACAGGGCUGAGAUAGACAUGUUAGCGAUGGCUAGAUUGAUUGAUUUAUUGACUGAAUGAAUGGCCUGCUUUAGGCAGCGGGAACACUGAAUGAACAUUUUAAAAUCAGCUGGUAUAGGUCAGGAACUGUGCAGGUUGCUGGGAAUGGGUAGAUGAAAAGACAUUGCUAUGGUUUGGCUGUGUCCCCACCUAAAUUUCACCUUGAAUUGUAAUCCCCAUGUUUCAAGGGUGGGACCAGGUGGAGAUAAUUGAAUGGGGGGGUGGUUUCUCCCAUACUAUUCUGGUGGUAGUGAAUAAGUCUCACGAGAGCUGAUGGUUUUAUAAAUGGGAGUUCCCCUGCACAAGCCCUCUUGCCUGCCACCAUGUAAGAUGUGACUUUGCGCCUCCUUCCCCUUCCACCGUGAUUGUGAGGCCUCGCCAGCCAUGUGGAACUGUGAGUCAAUUAAGCCUCUUUCCUUUAUAAAUUACCCAGUCUCAGGUAUGUCUUCAUUUGCAGCAUGAGAACAGACUAAUACAGACAUGGACCUUGGCUGUAGGGAGUUUGCACUGUAGUGACGGCAAGAGCUCACGUGAUCCAUUUUAAGAUAGAAGAGCGAGCUCAGGCAGAGGAACACAGAGCCAGGAUGGUCCAUGCACGGAAUCUGGCCCUGCCCUUACUUUCUCCAGGAGCAUGGGCUGGGUCCCUCUCCUCCCUAAUCCUCACUUUGCUCAUGUGUGAAAUGUAGAUCAAGUAAGUUCUACACUCAGAGGUCUCUUGUGAAGAUUAAAUGAGAAAAGGCAUGGAAACUGCCUUUGCACACAGCCUGGUAUAUCCUGAUGUCUGCUGAUACUCUUAUUUUUAUGUUCCUUGACAUUCCAAAUCUGCCCCAGGGAGAAUUCCAGGACAGCUCUGGAGAGGAAGUGAUCUUUGAAUCCAACCUUGAAAUCACCCUAGGAGAUGCAAAGAAGGUGACACCAGUUAAGAAUAAGAUGUGUACCCAUUUUCAAAUGUUCUUUUUUUUUUUUUUCAGAUGGAGUCUCGCUCUGAUGCCUAGGCUGGAGUGCAGUGGGGUGAUCUCGGCUAAUUGCAACCUCCGCCUCCCGGGAUAAAGCGAUUCUCCUGCCUCAGCCUCCCGAGUAGCUGGGAUUACAGGCGCCUGCCACCAUGCCCAGCUAAUUUUUGUGUUUUUAGUAGAGAUGGGAUUUCACCAUGUUGGCCAGACUGGUCUUGAACUCCUGACCUCAAGAAUCCACCUGCCUUGGCCUCCCAAAGUGCUGAGAUUACAGGCAUGAGGCACUGCACCUGGCCCAAAUCUUCUCAGUUCUAAAUGGCUGUGAUAAAAACUACAUUGAUAAUUUUUUUUUUUUUUUUUUUUUGGAGAUGGAGUCUCGCUCUGGUGCCCAGGCUGAAGUGCAAUGGCGCAAUCUUGGCUCACUGCAAGCUCCGCCUCCUGGGUUCACGCCAUUCUCCUGCCUCAGCCUCCCGAGUAGAUGGGGCUACAGGCGCCUGCCACCACCCCCGGCUAAUUUUUUUUGUAUUUUUAGUAGAGACGGGGUUUCACCAUGUUAGCCAGGAUGGUCUUGAUCUCCUGACCUCGUGAUCCGCCCACCUCAGCCUCCCAAAGUGCUGGGAUUACAGGCCUCUGCGCCUGGCCUUGCAUUGACAAUUAAUUUGUUUAUGGAAAGCCAGUUAUCCAAUGAUGGUGAACAAAUGCAACUUGACUGUAUAAUACUUAUUUUGGUUUUGGACCAAAGUCACCAUUAAAUAUGCCAAGUUCUUGUUCAAG